CCGCCGCCUCUCGGGCGCCUGCGCUCACGCUGCGGGGCCCAGCGCAUUGUGAGCCGGGUAGGGCUCCAAGCUGGCAGCGUCUGAGAGCUGUCCUGGGCCGGAGGUGGCGCGACCCCUGUGCGGCCUAGAGUGGGCCUGGGGAAGCCAGCUGCCAUGUUCUGAGUACCCUCUGGAAGGGCCUGCGUGGCAAGGAACUGAUGUUUCCAGCCAGCAGCCAGCAAGAACUGCAAGCCUUGUGAAUGAGCUUGGAAGCAGAUCCUCCCCUCACUCAAGCAGUGAUAUGACAACAGCCUGAGACCCAGAGGUGGACGGUAGUGAGCUGUGUUUCCAGGCAAAGGGGAGGACAGGACGCCUUGUGGCAGCCCAAGCUGUGAAAAAUAGAAUCAGAAAUCUGAGCGUAGGAAAAAGUGGGUUAGCCCUGGAGAAAGGAAAAGGAGGAUCAUGGUUCUCUGCAAAGAGCUGGAAGCUAAAAAGCA
Molecule: non-coding RNA, 476 nt
Filed under: Pongo abelii (Sumatran orangutan)
Lineage: Eukaryota; Metazoa; Chordata; Mammalia; Primates; Hominidae
Source: RNAcentral